RNAcentral lists this unclassified non-coding RNA (590 nucleotides) under Hevea brasiliensis (rubber tree). Lineage: Eukaryota; Viridiplantae; Streptophyta; Magnoliopsida; Malpighiales; Euphorbiaceae. The record is from RNAcentral.
AGGAAAGCAUCGGGUGGACCAAUCUUGUAUAGUUGACCAAUGACAGUAAUGUUGUAUUUCCCAUUGGGGUCUGUGUUUAUAUGAACCAUGUGAAGUUCCAUAUCAUACCUCCUGCCAUUGAUGGAGUGCUCAGAAGGAGAGUGCCAAUGGCAUUGUUGGAGAAAAUACUCGUUCCCAUUUAUCUCUAUUGAUCCAGCCUUGUGUUCCCCCCACUGCAGUGAAAUAUCGUGGCCUCGAUUCUUGAGUAUAGAAUAAGAAGGCUUGUAAUUCCUCUUGAGUCCUCCAGAAUUUCUGAUAACCUUAACUCUUCGAUUAGACAUAUCAAUGGGAGAUUGCAAAUUUCCAGACUUGCAAGAAGCCCAGUCUUUUUUAAGCUCUCCCCAGUGUUCUGGUCCUUUCUUCCUUCCUGGAGCAUAAUCGAACUCUCUCUCAUCCUCCACCUCAACUUGAUGAUCUUCAGCUGCAAGUGAUGCUAGAUAUGAAAAAAGGAGGACAAAGAUUAGACUAGCAGAAAAGAACAGGUAUGAUCGCUGUUGCUUCAUGUUUUGAUCAAAAAAGAGAGAGAUUUAGAACCAGCAGGAAGAUUGGAA